This 492-nucleotide ribosomal RNA is filed under the name uncultured bacterium. RNAcentral's name for it is "partial 16S ribosomal RNA". It matches the Rfam family "Bacterial small subunit ribosomal RNA", at positions 29 to 507 of the family's 1533-position model. The record is from RNAcentral.
AGUGAACGCUGGCGGUAGGCCUAACACAUGCAAGUCGAACGGCAGCACAGUAAGAGCUUGCUCUUACGGGUGGCGAGUGGCGGACGGGUGAGGAAUACAUCGGAAUCUACUUUUUCGUGGGGGAUAACGUAGGGAAACUUACGCUAAUACCGCAUACGACCUACGGGUGAAAGCAGGGGAUCUUCGGACCUUGCGCGAUUGAAUGAGCCGAUGUCGGAUUAGCUAGUUGGCGGGGUAAAGGCCCACCAAGGCGACGAUCCGUAGCUGGUCUGAGAGGAUGAUCAGCCACACUGGAACUGAGACACGGUCCAGACUCCUACGGGAGGCAGCAGUGGGGAAUAUUGGACAAUGGGCGCAAGCCUGAUCCAGCCAUACCGCGUGGGUGAAGAAGGCCUUCGGGUUGUAAAGCCCUUUUGUUGGGAAAGAAAAGCAGCAGGUUAAUACCCCGCUGUUCUGACGGUACCCAAAGAAUAAGCACGGGCUAACUUCGUG